GGUGGGGGUCCCGGUGGGCCGCCUGGAGCAGCGGGUGGGGGCUCUGAGGGGUCGCACCCCAUACACCGUCCGGGUCCGCGUCCGCCCCGACGGGCUGAGCUACGGCGGCUAUUGGAGCCCGUGGUCCGAACCCAUCACUGCCGUCACCGCCCCCGAUGUGGACCCGGUGACGGUGGGGCUCUCCUCUCUGCUGGCGCUGCUGCUGCUGGGGCUGGCAAUGCUCGCGCUGCUCGGACAGCGGCGGAAGCUGCAGGAGAAGCUGUGGCCGCCCGUGCCCGGCCCUGAGAGGGAAUUCGAGGGGCUCUUCAGCGCCUAUGGGGGCAAUUUUCAGCUCUGGCUGUACCAAGGGGUGGUGGAGCCCUGGAGCCCCCCCGGAGGCACCCCGGAAGCCGAGGAACAGCCCAGUGCCGUGGAAGAGGUGGGGCCCCCCCCCGGGCAAAGAGCCCCCCCCCGGGGACCCCCCCGUCUGCCCCCCCUUCGGCCCCCCCCAGCGGCCCCUCGCCCGCCUCCAGCUUUGAGUACACGCUGUUUGACCCCGGCUCGGCCCUGCUCUGCCCCAGGGGGCACCCCCAAAUCGCCCCCCCCCCACGACCCCCCCCGGCGGCCCCUACGCCAACCUGGCCCCUCCCCACAAAGGGUCCCCCCCCCCCGAGGAGGGGACCCCCCAAAGAAACCCCCCACGACAGGAGACCCCCACGGGAGCUUCCGUGCAAUGGGAACCCCCCCGGGACCCUCCUGGCGUUGGGGCCCCCCCCAAUGCCCCCCCCCUACGUGCUGUGCUCUUAAUGGAUGGGGGGGGGGGGAGAGGGGGGCGGAGGGGGGGGUUGGGGACACCCCCCGGGAUGGGGUGACACCGAAUGGAGGGGACACGGCGACGUGAGGUCACGUGGGCUCACCACGACACGGGGACGUGUCACACCACGGCACGAGGAUGGAGGGGACGUGUCAUAGUGACGUCACGUGGGCUCACCAUGACACGAGGAUGGAGGGGACGCGUCAUAGUGAUGUCAUGUGGGCUCACCAUGACACGAGGAUGGAGGUGACACACUGUAGUGAUGUCACAUGGACUCAUAGUGACAUCACAUGGACUUACCAUGACACGAGGACGUGUCACACUGUGACACAUUGAUGGAGGGGGACACAUCAUAGUGAUGUCACAUGGACUCACCAUGACACAAGGAUGGAGAGGACACGUCAUAGUGACGUCACGUGGGCUCACCAUGACAUGAGUACAGAUGGGACACAUCAUAGUGAUGUCAUGUGGGCUCACCAUGAGACGAGGAUGGAGGGGACACGUCAUAGUGACGUCACGUGGGCUCACCACGACACGGGGACGGAGGUGACACACUAGUGAUGUCACAUGGACUCAUAGUGACAUCACGUGGACUCACCAUGACACAAGGAUGGAGGGGACGCGUCAUAGUGACGUCACAUGGGCUCACCAUGACAUGAGGAUGGAGGGGACACGUCACAGUGAUGUCACGUGGACUCACCAUGACAUGAGGACGGAGGUGACACACUGUAGUGAUGUCACGUGGACUCAUAGUGACAUCACGUGGACUCACCACAACACGAGGACGUGUCACACUGUGACACAUGGAUGGAGGGGACUCACCACGACACGAGGAUGGAGGUGACGCGUCAUAGUGACGUCACGUGGACUCACCACGACACAAGGAUGGAGGGGACACACUGUAGUGAUGUCACAUGGACUCACAGUGACAUCACGUGGACUCACCAUGACACGAGGAUGAGGGGGACACAUCGUAGUGAUGUCACGUGGACUCACCAUGACACGAGGACGUGUCACACCACGACACGAGGAUGAAGGUGACACACUGUAGUGAUGUCACGUGGACUCAUAGUGACAUCACGUGGACUCACCAUGACACGAGGACGUGUCACACUGUGACACAUGGAUGGAGGUGACGUGUCAUAGUGAUGUCACGUGGACUCAUCACAACACUCGAGGACGUGUCACACUGUGACACAUGGACGGAGGGGACUCACCACGACACGAGGAUGGAGGUGACGCGUCAUAGUGACGUCACGUGGACUCACCACGACACGGGGACGGAGGGGACACGUCGCAGUGACGUCACGUGGGGACACAGCGGGGUUGUGGGGGUGGUCCCGUCCCACCCCCCCCCCCCCCCCCAAUGUCCAUACGCCGAAUUGGGGCCACUCGUGUUGGUUUGCCACUGUUUUAUACAAUAAAGCACUCGUGAGCGCACGCAGCGCCUCGGGGGGGGGUGGGGUGGGGUGGGGGCGGUGAUAAGGCCUUAUCAGAGCCCCCAGGGCCGGGGGGGGGCACAGCACGCGCUCAGCCCCACGCUGUGGGUGUCGGGGGGGGGGAGGGGGGUGGCUGUGAGGGCACUGAUAACGUGGGCUGUCCGCUCGUGUCGCCUCCUGGCACCUCCGGACACCUCCGGACACCUCCGGACACCAGCAGUGCGGCACGGGGGCUCGUGGCACCUCGGUUCCGUGUCGUAUAGGCACUGUGACAUCUGGGUCCCAUGUCACCUUGGUUCCGUGUCGUAUAGGCACUGUGACGUGGGUUCCGUGUCACCUGGGUUCCAUGUCACCGGGGUUCUGUGUCACCUGGGUUCUGUGUCACCUCGGUUCCGUGUCGUAUAGGCACUGUGACGUGGGUCCCGUGUCACCUGGGUUCUGUGUCACCUGGGUUCCGUGUCGUAUAGGCACUGUGUCACCUGGGUUCCGUGUCACCUGGGUUCUGUGUCACGGUGUUCCAUGUCACCUGGGUCCCAUGUCACCUUGGUUCCGUGUCGUAUAGGCACUGUGACGUGGGUUCCGUGUCACCUGGGUUCCAUGUCACCUGGGUUCUGUGUCACCUGGGUUCCGUGCCAUAUAGGCACUGUGACAUCUGGGUUCCGUGUCACCUGGGUUCUGUGUCACCUGGGUUCCAUGUCGUAUAGGCACUGUGUCACCUGGGUUCCAUGUCACCUGGGUUCUGUGUCACCUGGGUUCUGUGUCACCUGGGUUCUGUGUCACCUGGGUUCCGUGCCAUAUAGGCACUGUGACAUCUGGGUUCCGUGUCACCUGGGUUCUGUGUCACCUCGGCACUGUGUCACCUGGGUUCCGUGUCACCUGGGUUCUGUGUCACCGGGGUUCCGUGUCGUAUAGGCACUGUGACGUGGGUUCCGUGUCACCUGGGUUCCAUGUCACCGGGGUUCUGUGUCACCUGGGUUCCAUGUCACCUGGGUUCUGUGUCACCUGGGUUCUGUGUCAUAUAGGCACUGUGUCACCUGGGUUCUGUGACAUCUGGGUUCCGUGUCACCUGGGUUCCAUGUCAUAUAGGCACUGUGCCAUCUGGGUUCCAUGUCACCUGUGUUCCGUGUCACCUGUGUUCCGUGUCACAGUGUCACCCAGGCUCCGUGUCGUGCCGCACAGACUCUGUCACCUGCAUUCCAUGUCACCCGGGUUCUGUGUCACACAGGCAUUGCGUCCCCUGGGUUCCAUAGCACUCGGGUUCCGUGUCACCUGGGUUCCAUGUCGCGUGGGUUCCAUGACACAUAGGCAUUGUGUCACCCGGUCCCAUGUCACCAGGGCUCCAUGUCACCUGGGUUCUGUGUCACCUGGGUUCCGUGCCAUUUGGGUCUGUGUCACUCAGGUUCUGUGUCACCUUGGUUCCCUGUCACCUGGGUCCCACGCCACAGUGUCACCCAGGCUCCGUGUCACUGUGCCAUGCAGACCCCAUGUCACCUCGGUUCCGUGUCACCUGGACUCCACAUCACCCGGGCUCCAUGUCACUGUGUCACCUGGGCUCCACAUCACCUCUGCUCCAUGUCACCGUGUCACCUGGGCUCCACAUCACCUGGGCUCCAUGUCACUGUGUCACCUGGGCUCCAUGUCACCGGGCAGCUCUAUGUGACUGUGUCACCCGGGCUGCACAUCACCUGGUCUCCAUGUCACUGUGUCACCUGGGCUCCACAUCACUGGGGCUCCAUGUCACCGUGUCACCUGGGCUUCAUGUCACCAUGUCACCUGGGCUCCACGUCACCUGGGCUCCAUGUCACCGUGUCACCGGGCAGUUCCAUGUCACCGUGUCACCUGGGCUCCACAUCACCUGGGCUCCAUGUCACCGUGUCACCUGGGCUCCAUGUCACCUGGCAGCUCCAUGUCACUGUGUCACAUGGGCUCCACAUCACCUGGGCUUCAUGUCACAUGGGCAGCUCUAUGUCACCGUGUCACCCAGGCCCCACAUCACCUGGGCUCCAUGUCACUGUGUCACCUGGGCUCCACAUCACCUGGGCUCCGUGUCACUGUCUCAUGUGGGCUCCAUGUCACCGGGCAGCUCCAUAUCACCGUGUCACCUGGGCUCCACAUCACCUGGGCUCCAUGUCACCUGGCAGCUCCAUGUCACCGUGUCACCUGGGCUCCACGUCACCUGGGCUCUAUGACACUGUGUCACCAUGUCACCGUGUCACCUGGGCUCCACAUCACCUGGGCUCCAUGUCACUGUGUCACCUGGGUUCCGUGUCACUGAGUCAUGUGGGCUCCAUGUCACCUGGGCUCCAUGUCACCGUGUCACCGGGCAGUUCCAUGUCACCGUGUCACCUGGGCUCCACAUCACCUGGGCUCCAUGUCACCGUGUCACCUGGGCUCCAUGUCACCUGGCAGCUCCAUGUCACCGUGUCACCUGGGCUCCACAUCACCUGGGCUCCAUGUCAUUGUGUCAUGUGGGCUCCACAUCACCUGGGCUUCAUGUCACAUGGGCAGCUCUACGUCACCGUGUCACCCAGGCCCCACAUCACCUGGGCUCCAUGUCACUGUGUCACCUGGGCUCCACAUCACCUGGGCUCCGUGUCACUGUCUCAUGUGGGCUCCAUGUCACCGGGCAGCUCCAUGUCACCGUGUCACCUGGGCUCCAUGUCACCUGGGCUCCAUGACACUGUGUCACCUGGGUUCCAUGUCACUGAGUCAUGUGGGCUCCCUGUCACCUGGGCUCCAUGUCACCGUGUCACCGGGCAGUUCCAUGUCACCAUGUCACAUGGGCUCCACAUCACCUGGGCUCCGUGUCACUGUGUCACAUGGGCUCCGUGUCACUGUCUCAUGUGGGCUCCAUGUCACCGGGCAGCUCCAUGUCACCGUGUCACCUGGGCUCCACAUCACCUGGGCUCCAUGGCACUGUGUCAUGUGAGCUCCACGUCACUGGGGCUCCAUGUCACCGUGUCACCUGGGCUUCAUGUCACCAUGUCACCUGGGCUCCACGUCACCUGUGCUCCAUGUCACCGUGUCACCGGGCAGCUCCACGUCCCCGUGUCACCUGGGCUCCACAUCACCUGGGCUCCACACCAGCCAGGCUCAGUGACACCACAACACCCGAGGGCUGCACAUCACCACCCGACUCACCCUCAGCCUUCAUCCCCACUGCCAUCUCCGUCCUCAUCCUCGUCCCCAUCGCCGUCCCCAGGCCCGGGGGUGACGUUCAGCCCCCCGUGGGGCUCGAAGCGCAGCCUCCAUCCCCGCGGCACCGAUCCGGGCAGGACGAGGCGGACGUUCACCCGCAGUGGGACCCCGGGGAGGGGUCUCAGACGGCACUCAGCCGGGAAGUAACGGCGCAGGACGGGCAGCACACGGGGCCCGGGGGGGGGCACACGGAGGGCAGCCAGGAGCCGGGCCGGGGGUCGGGG
RNAcentral lists this long non-coding RNA (5654 nucleotides) under Gallus gallus (chicken). RNAcentral describes it as "lncRNA (ENSGALG00010029057.1)". The record is from RNAcentral. Lineage: Eukaryota; Metazoa; Chordata; Aves; Galliformes; Phasianidae.